UGACCUGCCCUCUACUCUGGGAUAAGCCUGGGAAACUGGGUCUAAUACCGGAUAUGACCUGCUGUCGCAUGAUGGUGGGUGGAAAGCCAGUUGCUUUUGUUUCUGGUGGUGGGGGAUGGGCCCGCGGCCUAUCAGCUUGUUGGUGGGGUGAUGGCCUACCAAGGCGACGACGGGUAGCCGGCCUGAGAGGGCGACCGGCCACACUGGGACUGAGACACGGCCCAG
RNAcentral lists this ribosomal RNA (225 nucleotides) under uncultured bacterium. Its description in RNAcentral is "partial 16S ribosomal RNA". It matches the Rfam family "Bacterial small subunit ribosomal RNA", at positions 122 to 334 of the family's 1533-position model. The record is from RNAcentral.